ACGGGGGUAGCUCAACUGGCUGAGCAGCGAGCUCCAAACUCGAAGGCUGGGGGUUCGAGUCCCUCUCCCUGUGCCA
Molecule: transfer RNA, 76 nt
Filed under: Ramlibacter alkalitolerans
Lineage: Bacteria; Pseudomonadati; Pseudomonadota; Betaproteobacteria; Burkholderiales; Comamonadaceae
Description: tRNA-Trp
Rfam family: tRNA
About the family: Transfer RNA (tRNA) molecules are approximately 80 nucleotides in length. Their secondary structure includes four short double-helical elements and three loops (D, anti-codon, and T loops).
Source: RNAcentral